GACAGAGGUGGCAAGCGUUGUUCGGAAUUACUGGGCGUAAAGGGUGUGUAGGUGGUUGGAUAAGUCAGAGGUGAAAGCCCACAGCUUAACUGUGGAAGUGCCUUUGAAACUGUCUGACUUGAGUGCAGGAGAGGAGGGUGGAAUUCCCGGUGUAGAGGUGAAAUUCGUAGAUAUCGGGAGGAACACCAGCGGCGAAGGCGGCCCUCUGGACUGCAACUGACACUGAAACACGAAAGCGUGGGGAGCAAACAGG
RNAcentral lists this ribosomal RNA (253 nucleotides) under uncultured bacterium. RNAcentral describes it as "partial 16S ribosomal RNA". It matches the Rfam family "Bacterial small subunit ribosomal RNA", at positions 524 to 776 of the family's 1533-position model. The record is from RNAcentral.